GGGGUAUUAGCUCAGUUGGUUAGAGCGUCACGUUGACAUCGUGAAGGUCAGCUGUUCAAGUCAG
Molecule: transfer RNA, 64 nt
Filed under: Chlamydia pecorum
Lineage: Bacteria; Pseudomonadati; Chlamydiota; Chlamydiia; Chlamydiales; Chlamydiaceae
Description: tRNA-Val
Rfam family: tRNA
About the family: Transfer RNA (tRNA) molecules are approximately 80 nucleotides in length. Their secondary structure includes four short double-helical elements and three loops (D, anti-codon, and T loops).
Source: RNAcentral